Aquila chrysaetos chrysaetos is the source of this 9991-nucleotide long non-coding RNA. RefSeq lists it as uncharacterized. The transcript has 3 exons. The record is from RefSeq and is a predicted model, not a curated record. NCBI's taxonomy places the organism in Eukaryota, Metazoa, Chordata, Aves, Accipitriformes, Accipitridae.
UUUAUUUUCCUGUAAAAGAGGUCUGUACAAGCCUAGAGAAGAAGUCAUCUGGAACUAGGAAACCCUGUGAGAAGAUCUAGGACAAGAGCAACCGUUUUUCAAGAGAGAGUACUUGAAAAGGCAUCCAGCACAAGUUGUGCAAUGAGAGGUCAGCCCUUAUUAAACAAGGACUCCGUGGAAGAAAAAGAGCUAAGGAUUCAAAUCUAUUAAAAAAAAACAGGUAGGCUUCAUUAGAUCUGCUGUUCAUAGGAGUAAUUGUUUAUUCUGCAUAGCAGUAUUUCAGUCUAUAGGCUUUCUCUCCUGUGGUCAGCCAUUUCUGGGAAAGGAAGUGAACAUCAGUGUAACAUUGAAUAAGGAUGUAGCUUUUAAUUCUCUCUCUUCAGCAGCGUUGUGUCAAAUGCUCAAGCUGAAGUUUCAGACUUCCUAAUUGUGGUAAAAAAGUCAGAGGUGUUUCAAUAUUUCUAUGUUUUGUGUACUUCAUGGGCUAAUACUAAGAAGAAUUUCAAUAAAAGAUGGUACCUGGAAUUACAAGGUAUUGCCGGCAAUGUUGUGAAAACAUAUAGUUAAAUGUUUGGCUGCCAUCAGUACUACUGUGGAUAGACUGAACAAAGACAUUAGGAGAAGAGCAAACCUCAGUAGCAUGGUUUCUGCUAGUAUCAUUCAGACUGGUACUGGAAUGGCACAUAAUUACAAUCAGAUCAAAUGAGAUAAAAAUGAAUUGAUAACAGAAUAGAUAGCUACUGCAGUUCUGUAGUGUUCAGCCAUGUCAGCAAUGUCACUCCACUUUCAGUCAUCAAAAAUAUUUCAAAUUUAGCCUUCAAAAUUUUAGAAGUAAAAUACAAUGGGAGGAUUUUGGCAAUCCAAUUUAUUUCGUUGUUUUUGUUGGUUUGUUUCUACAUCAUACUCGGCAUGAUGAUAUUUGAGUCCUUGUCUCCCCGAGUGUCUAAGGAGAAAAGCUACUGGAUCAAUUGUGUAAGCAAUUCACAAGAGUGGGUGUUCUCCCCAGUCCACAUUGUAAUAGCCACUUCAUGCAUCUUUAAAUUUUAUUAUUAACAUUAGCUACUUAAUUUUCACAGCAUCUUUGAGCUACCAGUACCCCUAAAUUGAAAGGAUAAGCAGUUUAUUUUAGUGGCAGAACUUGGAGAUUACUGAUGCCAAUCACUACACUCACAGCUCAUUAAAGCAUGGUGGUGUUGCUGCCCGCUUUCCUUUUCUCCCCCUUAAUGGAUAACAUAACAGGGAUUAAAAUCUGAAAGCAAUCUAGAUUUGUAGUUGGUGAUGAGAGGAAGGCGAAUCAGGAAGUUUUCUGGUCUUUCUUUUCUUUGAUAUUGCUUCCCAUGGGAAUAUGAAUUACAUGAUUUAAUUUUAGGGGAUAACCCCCCACUUGGCUAGAUUAACAGGUAAUUUUGAAAGUAAGCCAGCCUAUCUGACACAAAGGUUCUGUGUCCCAAAGAAUGAAUCAUUGAGUGAAAGUCUCUUAGGAGUCGAACGUGACGCCAAAAUUCCAGAUGAAUAAAGAUCGGUUUAUGCUAUGGAAAGAUAAAUGAAAUGUAGCUUGCAAAGUCUAUCCAACAUACAUACAUACUACCUAAAAACUAUGUCUGUCUCUUGCAGAUCCUCCAGGUACAGUUUUCUAAAAUAUUUCCCAUUAACAUCUCUGAAAAGAGGCUCUAGUGAUUUAGCGUUCACAUUUACUCACUGAUAGGAGUCCAAAUGCAAGUCCUUUCAGAGUAUGGAUGUGCUGUGCACAGCUAUGGCCUCAGCCCUGUUUCCAGUGGUGCUUUCAUGGGAUGGGAGCCUAAAGCACCUGCACUGUUCCUUUAUUUAUAUUUGAAGGUUUCUAAUCUAAAAAGACAUUGCUAGACUUCCUUUUCUUUUUUCCUUUUACCCACUAUCUCUAGCUAAUGCUUGCGUUUUCUGGAGUUCAUUGAAAAACAAACAAAAAACCCCAGGGAUGCUGGAAUUGUGUCAGUAUAAACAAGUAGCUUCUUCUGUCAUUGGACAAGACAACAUCUUUUGUCCUGCAGAGGAGGAGCCCUGGUCUGGACCUGACUGCUGAGUUGUGGUCUUUCCUGAUUAAUUGCCUUGACAAGCUUUCUGCUUAAGGUGUUUUAACACUUCUGUAACAUUUAAAACCAACUGUUUGCACUCCAACUGCACAAAAAGCAUUGCAAAGCUUGUCUGCCCCCUCCUCCCAGCCAGCCAGGUCUGCUCUGGUGAGCAUGGACAUAAAACAUAUAGUCUGUGACGGUACUGGAAGCUUGCAGUUAAGUUCAAUGGAAGCAGAUUGCAGGCUGGAUUCAUAAAGAAAAAGAAAUAGUCAAGAGUAAAUUACUUUAUAAGGGAGUGUGUUCAGAUAUAAAACAAAGUUUGAUAGACAGCAGAGAUAAAAAGGGGAAAGGGUGAAAUUAUGUUCUGUUAUGUGCUUUGUAAGUCUCCAAAUCACAGAAUUUACUUUUUAACAUGAGAAAAUUGCUCGUAAGAAGGAAUGAAAUUACUACACCAGCCCAAGACAGGUGUAGCUGGUAUUUUGGGAGUUCAGAGCUUACCAUAACAUACAUAAAUCCGGUGUGAAAACACGUCUUAGAAAUAUAUCUGCUUUGUUUUAAGCAACCCUUUAAAUUCUGAGAAUUAGCACAGUCCUCCAUUACAUACUCUGCACUUGAGAUUCCUGGAGCUUGCUGAACAACCUCUGCAGGCAGAACGAACUGAUACUUAAACUGUGAAGAGAGGAAAGGUGCUACCACUGCUGUGCUCCAUUGUCCUGGCCUAUGACUUAUGCUACUCUUGACUUUUCUCCUGAAGGGUGUUACUGUAAAUACCGAUCAAUAAUGCUUAAAGAAGAAAUAGCCAUAGUGCUGUUUGUAGCCUUGAUAAUCAGGGGAUAAGCAAGGCAAAGUUUGUGAAGAGUAACAUCUCUUGUUAAGCCUAGUGAUAUAGUUCGAAGAAGUCAUGAAAAUAAUAUUCUAAAACUUGGUAAGAGAUGGAAUUGCUCAGGCUGUUUGUCUAGCGAAUAUAAUGUACCUUUUGUUACCCUGCCUAUUUUUGCACUACCUUCUAAUUUUCUCAAGCUGCUACAAGUCUUUUAUUUGAGGAUGCUUCUGUUGUAUAUUAAUGAAGAAGUUAAAUUAUCUAGGCAAGGUAGGCUAAAGCUGAAACUCCCCCAGCAUCAUCUUUCUUAACUAUCAUUGUCCUGUAAGAAAAUCGGUCUGUAAGUGAUACUAUUCACCUGAACAAAAAGAAACUGUUAUCGUGGUAUUUGUCAGCUGUGUGUAAUACUGAUACCUGAGCUGGCCUUUGGAGCCAGAUAUCAUUACAGAUAAUGUGAUGGUGUCUGCUUUCAGGCAGUUUUGAAUUCUGAGUACAAGAGCAGCAGGAGCAGAGAAGACCUCAGAAUGCAGCCAUUCCCCACCCCAACUCCAGUGUCUGCGAAUAUUCCGAACCAGGUUUCAUUCACAAGCGUUUACCUCUUCUGUAACUACUACAACAAUAACAAUUAUUUUUCCAAACAGUUUGCAUAUAUAGUGUCAUGUGAAUCAAUUAAAUAAUUGACUCCAGGAAUCAACUCAUAAUAGAACUACUGACAGAAACGAAAGCGUAGUCAUUAGAAGUAUUGUGUAAAUAUUCUCUUAGAAAUAUUUCUUACAUAUAUGACGCUAAGCAUAAACCCGAGGAACAACAUGGACAAGUAGGUAGCAGCUACUGAUAUGACAAACUGAUUGUGUAAGUAGAAUUCUCUUCUGUUUUAACAGCAAAAGGGAAGUCAAUGUCACAAGUGCAAGCAUUUAAAACAGUCCUGGUUUUGUUAACUUUACCAUAGCGUUAAAGAUUGAAGUUCACCUGGACUCUUCAUUAAAAGUGCUUUUAUGUUACAGCUCUGAGCACUGAGUCAAAUCCUUGAUCUCAUGGGAAGUACUUUUUAAGUGCUGUGGAGGCGAUUCUGUUGGACUGAUGGGAAACAAUGCAGUGAUCAAUCAGCCUCUGAAGAAAGAGGUUGUGCUAGAAAAAUCAAGAUGUGACUGAAAGUUUUGCUGCAAAGACAGAAUGAAAAUACCAUAAUUUGAAUUCCAGCAAAAUCCUGACAUUUUGACAAGCUGGGUGAAUGAGAUUCUUAUAGGUACUCCAUCUUGUAAAUCAUGACAGAAAGGAUGGAAGCUGCAAGACUGCCUUGUAAGGACUCCCUUACAAGUUCAGGAACAUGCUGAAGCAGAACUGCUGGAGCUUGUCAGGGCAGACUGGCAGCUUGCUGUAAUUUAGACAGUAUGUGUAGUAUAUUUUAAGACUGGAAGGCUACCUACUUGUGUUAAAGCAUAUACAAUAUUUCUGUCCUUGGGCUGGAGUUUUGUGUUGUGACUCUCUAACUUUACCUUCUGGGCACAUCUGAAACAAAAAGGAAGUAUACCUGAUGAAAGCAGGAUCAGUUUGUACUGAUUCUUGUAGGGAUAUAUAAUGAUAGAAACAGUUGUUCCAAGAGUCAUUUACAGUUUGUUUAAAAAAAAAUCACAUGAGGGAGUUCACAAUAACAAGACGACUUUAUAAGACUUGCAUAAGUAGAUUGCCAAUUUAUCACCAAAUUAUUUUCAGAAAUUUGUCUUAGAUGUGAUUUUACAUGAAUAAGUAUAGAAAAGAGCUUGCAGUCUGUCAGUGUUAAGGAUUAUGAGUUGAUUUAUGUCUUUUGCCUUAAGAAAUGAAACAUCAAUAAACAAACACACCAUUUAAUCUUUGUGUAAUAGUUAAAUUGUUACAUAGGGAGCCAGUUAUUCUAAAAUGACUAAGCAUUCCUUCAUGCACCAAAACAUGUGUUGGACACAAGGUCAUGUCUGUCCUUCCUGUAAAUCUGCUGAUGUAUAUUUGCCUCCAAAACUUACAGGAAUGACUACAAACAGAUAAGCAACAAGUUGAGUCAUUCUAAUCUUACCAAUGUUACUUCUUACAUUACAAAUUCAGAGGAAUACGUGCACAUGCGACUGCUCCUUGUGAGAAUGAUUUGUAUGGGAAUAUGACAGAAGAUAUUGUUUGUACUUGCCUGUUACAUAUUUCUCAGAAAUGUACUUGAAGUAGCAGCCAGCCCACAGACAUACAUGAUGAGGACUUGUAUGAUUUUUUUGAUCGAGUAUCAUGUUUUUAUAAAAAUUGAGCUCAGAUGACGAAUUGGAAUAAAGUUAAGGUGAACAAGUAAUUUUUUUUUGCUAUCUAGGUUCUAAAUAAAAAAAAUUAAUUAUGGAAAGAAGUAUUGAUGAGGAGGUUGGCCUUGCUGUUUCUGUCAAGACAAACUUCUGCCGUGGCAUAUGUAAAUAGAACAACUACUGAGGUCAGGGUCCUCACUGAAUUUUAGUCUUUGCUCUAAUGAUUUCCCCAAAUGGUUUCAUACUAAAUUAGGGCAGCAUAGUGUUUGAAAUGUUAUGAUUCCCGUAAAGGAAAUUGUAAGACUCAAGAGAUCCUGAUGAGAAGAGUGUGGAAUACACCGGAAGAAGACAAUUGUUUAGCUGUAUUUUUAGUCAUAAUCUAACCUAAUCUAAUGGGCUCUUUAUAGUAAGCCUGGCCUGUUGUGGCUAUUGCUAACUGUGGUUGUGUGCUUUAAGCUGGAUCUUGUAAAAAAUUAAGAAAACAUUUCCUUUUUAGUGCAUUUUAUUUUCUUUCUUUUGAGUGUCUCUAGGCAGCCCUAGACCAUAUUUCAUUAUGUGAGAACUACUCGGAAGUCCUCCUUGUAAUGACUGUUCAAAGUUCCCUCUAAAGUCCAGAAAAUCAUUUUUAGGUACUUUGUUUUGUACAGCCAUCUAAUGAUUGUACAGUUGCAUAUGUUCUACUAAUAAGACAUGUAACUGUUUGCACCAACAAAAUUUAAUAUAGAGUGCCAAAUCUUUCCCUAGAUUUAGUAUGGUAUAGAUUAGAAAUACCUCUGUCAGUACUGCUUUCCUUUCCUAAAAUGUGUAUUCUUCAGUCAGAAAUUCCAUGUCCAUACAGCAUCCUAUUUAGGAUCUAAUACUCUAAAGCUCUGCUCCUGAUGGGGCUUUUCAGUUUUGUCAUAAAUUGUACAGUAAGACAACAUUGAAACUGCAUUCUCCUUUGACUUUAUGUAGUGUGCAAACCUACCGAUCUCAGUGGUACUGUCUAUGAAGUGCUGAUUUGACCCAAGAUCAUUAAAUAUCUAGGUGCUCCCUUGGAUGAAAGAAUCAAAAUCCAAGCACAAACCCAUGAAUAUGUGUGCUAUCAAUCAUGGCUACGGAAUCUCGAACCCUACUGGGCUGUACAUAUUGAUAUGUAGUGCAGCCUCCUAUGUCUGAUGAAUUAAUUGAGUACAUCACAGUCUCUGAAAUGCUGCAGAUAUCUAGGUGUUGUGGGGCAUAAUAGGUACCUGGGUAAUACUACAGCAAGUUGUGUCUUGCUGCCUAAGCAGGCAGAAAGUUACUGUCAGGCAUUACCUCUGGAAAAGAAAGUAGUUCUAAACUCUGCACAAAUCUGAGCAGGUAAUAAAUGUACUGUUUCUACAGAAUACAAAUGUUAUGUCUGCAAGCAGGUACAUGUUUCUAUUUCAUGCAUGCAACAUGGCUUAAAACAAAGAUUUAAUUACGUAAUGCUUGCAAGUUGCUGUACAUUUUCUACAUAAUGACUCAGAAUGAGAAGUGAUAUUUGUGUAGAUCAGGGUAACAAAAUUGAUUAAAGUUUUUUAGUUCAGAACACCUAUCAAAUUUCGUCUCUAUGUUCCCCCUGCUCCUUCCCCAGAAGGCCCAGUAUAUUGGCUAUAGAUACUAGAUGUGAUAAAGAUUUUUUUAUUCUUUAUGUAAAAUAUAGAAAUUGGUUAUUUUAUGACAACUGUUCCAAACAGAUUUGCAGAUAAUUUUCCAGUCAUGGAAGGUUUCAUGUGUAAGAGUAAGAAGGGAAUGGAACUAGCUUGAACAAAAAGCAUCAAAGAACAAAACAAUUCAUACAUUUGGAGGUAGGCCCCUUCUCUUAAAACACUGCCCUUUAUUUGAUAGGCCAUCCCUCAGUUCCCCCCUACUUGAAAUUCCUCCUUGAAAUGCACUUCCUUGGAGAGGUCAAUAAUCCUUUGUGUCACCAAAUGUGUAUGACUGACUGCUAUAUUGUUUUUGUUGUGUUUUCUUUUAAAACCUGUCAGUUUAAAAAGACCUGGAGUGAACAAAAGUAUGUUACUCUUGAUGAGCAGGGUUAAUGUGGAGGUCUAACAUGCUUCAGCUUUUUUUUUCAUGAUGUGCUCCAAGUUUAUUGAGAAGUAGCAGAAAUACAAUUUUAAAAAAAGAAAAAAGAACACAUUAAAACUUUCCCAGCCUGAGACAAAACCGAGGCAACUUUAUUUGGAGAGUGCUUGCUACAAAAUGGCAAAGUUUGCAUACAAAAUUUGUCUUCUGUUGUUUUGAUUCUAACUGCAUAUUCUGUGAAGAAACAGGAUUGCAUCAAGGAAAUAGUUGAUUUCAGCAGUCACUGCUCCUAUAUAAAUAAACAACCCACAAGGCUCCAAGUAUUGAUUUACUACUUAGAUUAGAAGUGCUAACAUUAUGCAAUCCCUUUGCUGAUACCAGGAAUGAGGUGAGAAGCUGUUGACUAUUUGCAAGCUUGCCCUGAAUCACGGGUGAAAACCAGAGACCUUCUAGACUGACUUUGGUCUCUCCUCCACACACCUUUCUCUUGCUUCUUUUUGACCUCUGUGAUAAGGAUGAAAAUUAGCGUUGGUACAGGGCAAUUGCACUGUCUGGAAAGUUCUGUUAUACUGAUCACAUUCCAGAGAAAGCCAUUGCUGGGUUUUUCUUACCGGAAAGAUACAAAGCAGAGAGAAGCAGAAUCCUUUCAGUCAGAUUUGGUUUUAAAGAUAAUGUGACAUACUGUUAUAUAAAGGCAGUUUUAAUUUUUGUUUGUGGACUCCUAAAAUGUUUGCAAAGGCGUUUCAGACAUCUUGUAGUGAACGUAAGCUUCGUGACAAUGGGCUUGUUUUUCUUAGCUACCUGUUUUGAAGCCUUUGGAAGCAUUCCACUUAUCCUCAGGGUAUUGCUAGUUGACCAUACCUUUAUUUAUCGAGAGUAAAUAAAUCUGUUUCUGCUUCAUUUUCAAAAAAGAAUGUUUGAAAGCUUUCAAAGAACUAGUUUAAACAUAACUAUUUCUUCUGACAAAUAAAAGAGCAACUGCUACAUCAGUAAAUCCUGCGUAAUUCAGUUAGGCAUUUGCAUACCUGUAGCUACACGAAAGGUUUCCCAAAGUGCUGUUUCUAAAGCCUCCACAGAACAAGGUGUAUUUGACUCUUCACUUGGAUACCCUGUCCGUAGGAAGUUUAAUUUUAGGACUCAUUUUUCUAACGAUAACCUGACAGGUUAUAUUUUUUCCUUAGACUGUAAUUAACCAAAAUUUGCUUCCAACUUUGCUGAAAUCAUUAAUUUAACUUAGAUGUUCAUCCUUCUGAAACAAACAAAGCAUUUUGUUGAGCACUCCCAAUGACGCCACUGAACCUGGAUGUCAUUCAGCAGUGCCCAGCUUGGGGACACGAGUGGACAAGCCCCGCCGGCACCAGGAUUCCCCACUGAGCUCCUUGCUAUGGCACGCAAGGCCAGCUUGUCCAGGGCCAAGAAGAGGUUCAUGAGGAGGUCCCAUGGCUUGGUGAGGUCUCCAAGAGAGAGGGCAUAAAGGAAGAGGGGAGGCAAGAGUUGCACUUAGUAGGAGCGCACAACCUGGAGCACUUGAAAUCCACGUGGGAGCAAGAACAUGCAGUCUGAGGUAGAGAGAUGGAAGCUCCAACUUAAAUUUGUUUGAGGUACUAUGAAACCGCACCUGGAAAACAUUAGACUUGUCAGCCUAGAAGAGAGAUGAAUGAGGUGGUAGUGCGAGGAAUCUGUGGUACAAAUCUAUAGAACAAGGAGUGGCCUGGAGACAGUUAAGAGAGAAUGAUAAUUCACAGUUAAUUAAUGCAAAAGUCAAGGGACAUCAAAUGGAAAUACCAGACAGAAGGCUCAAAGCAUACAGAAGUGAUUUUCACACAGUGUGAAGUUAAACUGUGGAACUACAUCAAGCCGUAGAUGCCAAAAGCUUAUAUGGAUUAAGAAAGCGAUCGGAUUUGUCUUCCUUUAAUUUGUCUAUCAAGAGCAGAAAUAAACUCCUUUUAGCUAAAAGUCUCUGAGCUGCACAAUUCGUUAUCUGCCCAGGAGAUGACCAGCCACCAUUGGAAACAGCAUACUGUGCUAACUCGGUCACUGUUCUGACCCACUACGGCCAUUCCGGUGCUCUAGCUGGUUUACGCGCAAGAUGUGCUUCCGUACCCACUGGCAGGACACAUCAUGGUAAAUCCAAGCUCAGUUAAUUCAAAACUUAAAACUAUAGGAAGUGCAAAAUAGUUGGAAGAAAUUACCAAUAUAUUCUCUUACCCAUUUACUGCUUAUGAGAAAGAUUUAGAAAAUAGGCUAAUGUGUUGGUGUUGUAGUUGGAAAAAAAAAGGUGUAGCAAGUUUGUUUGCCUAAUGUUCCCUAAGUACAGGGAGGUUAGAUCAAAAAAAUAUUUAAUCAUCUGCAUAAAACAGAUAUGCCUUUGGGCACCUUGCACAAUCCACACCCUCUCAUUAGUGAUUAUUUGAUGAUGUUUUGACAUUAAGCCAAACAAUGGGGUUUGAAACAAAUUAGAACAAAGCGAGAGUAAUAGAGUGCCCUAAAAUUCAUAUAGCCCAAGCAAGGCAAAACCCACACAGUGAUUCAGUUCAGCCUCCAUCCAAGGAAGUGAUGCGCUUUUUGCUUCUCCAAGAAUGAGAACUAUUAAAUGUAACAGCCACAUUGCAUAUGCAGUUGUUGCCAGAAAAUUUUAGCCUCCUGCAAGGUGUUGUCUUUUAUAGGAGCAAACUCUUGUUACCAAAUACAGCUCUGGCUUGUUUUGCAAUUUUGCUUUUUUCACACUCUGUCCCACUCCAUAUGGGCUGGGGGAGGACCGUGCUGGACUUCUGCUCGGUGCAGAGGGAGUACAAAAUGUUUCCUCUUCCUUUACACGUUGUUAAGAAGCGGCU